Mercurialis annua (annual mercury) is the source of this 780-nucleotide long non-coding RNA. RefSeq lists it as uncharacterized. The record is from RefSeq and is a predicted model, not a curated record. Lineage: Eukaryota; Viridiplantae; Streptophyta; Magnoliopsida; Malpighiales; Euphorbiaceae. The transcript is spliced from 3 exons.
ACACUAAUGAAUAACCAUGUUUAAAUUGUCAUGUUUAUGUUUGUGUUUACUUUCAGUAAUUAAUAUGUCUAUUGACUUUUUCUUUUUAGGUUAUUUCGCUCUGCUUUUCUUCAUUAUCUCUACGCCUCUCUCACUCUCUUUUUUCACCUUCUUUGUGCCAUUGUCUUGAUCCAUUUAUUAGCAAAUUUCAGACUUGUGAUUUCACCAGAGGAUGAAAUCUGCGAGGUGAUCGAAUCGGAUCCCUCUCUUCCAAAUGUAGAGGUAGUCCUAAAAUGUUUUGGAAAUCAAACACAUAGUCAUGUGGUUGGCUACGGUGGUGGAGUGAAGUUCAAACAUUUAAAGGGUCCAUCAACUAAGAAGGCUGAACGCGAAGCUCAACUUCAAGAAGAAAAUCAAUUAUUGAAAAGUCGAUUAAGUGCAUUGGAAGAUAAAUUUCAAAAGUUUGAAGAAAUGGAAGAUAAAUUUCGCAAGUUUGAAGAAAUGUUCGCUGCUCAAGAAAAAAGUGACCAACCAUCAACCUCAUUUCAUACAAUUGAUACCCAACAAAGUUAAUUACACCUAAAAAUGAAUGCUAUUUGAGUGUAAAGAAGGAUCAAGAGUGGGAGUACUUAUUGGUGGACUAAAGAAGAUGAGACAUGAAAUUGCAUCAAUAUAUGUUCAUCAAGAUAAUUUGCAUUUUGAAUCCAUCAGUUUUAGUUGGUUGCUGCAGCUAGUGUUAUUAUGUUGCUAAUGUUUUAAAUUUUUGACUAGUUAUAAUAUGCAUUACAAAACAUGUAGAUA